GCCGGGCACAGCUAGUGACCCUAUAUAAUUGCACCCUUGGUUUCCAUCUGUACCGAAAUGAGACAAUUGGAGGGUGCGUCAAUAUAUAUAAAUCGUGCCUGCGAAUCUUUUCAUAUUUAAAAAGGAAAGUAGGAUGUUUUCAUCUUGCAAGGGAAUCUUCAGUUGGAUCUCGCUUUACUCUCCCCGUCUUCUCAAACCAAGGCCAAGGGGUCAGCUGGGGUGAGGGUCAAUGCGUUGCCCAGAGAUAAUUUGGACGCUUUUGCAAGUAUUUGGUCCUGGCUUUUUCCAUGCUUGCAAACCUAAGAGCGGGCCCUUGAGUUACCAAGCAACCAGGAAGGACGAAAAAGGGAUGCGGGAGGAAAGAACAUCCCGGCUUUUUCUUUUGUCCAUCUCUUGCAGGCGAGCUAUUGAGAAAACAAGGUCAAGGACCACGGAUAUGGAGAGUAAUGUUACAGCGAGGUUAGUUGAUGGGCACAUGCUUUGCUAAUGAGAUCAGCUGCAACAAACCAAACCGAGGGAGUGUAUUUGUUUUAAUCUUCCUUCCUGAGGUCCAGCAGGGGUUUUUCACAGAAGAAUUUCUUCCAGAAGGCAGAGAUAAACAAAUCGAGCAACACAAAGAGGAUGGAAUGACUGGCACAACAUGGUCAAGAUCCUACAUCGAAGAUCUGGAAAGGAAGGUUAAGAUCAGAAGUAUGCCGUCACACUCGGGCAUCUAUGAUAAACUAAAAUGUGCUGCUUUCUUUGCCCGGGUGAACUGCGGGGCCUUACUUCGAAGCUCAGGAGUCCCAGUAACCAAGGCCACUUCAAGUUGAACAUCCAACAAGAUUUUUAUUUUCUCAAAGUCCUUGACAGACUUGACACACGUAGUUAAGGGUACAAAUAUAAACAGUCAACUUAUAAAAUCA
Anolis carolinensis (green anole) is the source of this 905-nucleotide long non-coding RNA. RefSeq lists it as uncharacterized. The transcript has 2 exons. The record is from RefSeq and is a predicted model, not a curated record. Lineage: Eukaryota; Metazoa; Chordata; Lepidosauria; Squamata; Anolidae.